RNAcentral lists this microRNA precursor (65 nucleotides) under Python bivittatus (Burmese python). Its description in RNAcentral is "Pbv-Mir-96-P2_pre stem-loop". It matches the Rfam family "mir-182 microRNA precursor family", at positions 8 to 71 of the family's 77-position model. The record is from RNAcentral. Lineage: Eukaryota; Metazoa; Chordata; Lepidosauria; Squamata; Pythonidae.
UUUGGCAAUGGUAGAACUCACACUGGUGAGAUAUCUGGAUCCGGUGGUUCUAGACUUGCCAACUA